GAAAGAAUACCAAUUGCGAAGGCAGCUUUCUGGAUCAUUACUGACACUGAGGAACGAAAGCAUGGGUAGCGAAGAGGAUUAGAUACCCUCGUAGUCCAUGCCGUAAACGAUGUGUGUUAGACGUUGGAAAUUUAUUUUCAGUGUCGCAGCGAAAGCGAUAAACACACCGCCUGGGGAGUACGACCGCAAGGUUAAAACUCAAAUGAAUUGACGGGGACCCGCACAAGUAGUGGAGCAUGUGGUUUAAUUCGAAGAUACGCGCAGAACCUUACCAACACUUGACAUGUUCGUCGCGACUCUAAGAGAUUAGAGUUUUCGGUUCGGCCGGACGAAACACAGGUGCUGCAUGGCUGUCGUCAGCUCGUGUCGUGAGAUGUUGGGUUAAGUCCCGCAACGAGCGCAACCCUCACUUUUAGUUGCCAUCAUUAAGUUGGGCACUCUGAAAGAACUGCCAGUGAUAAGCUGGAGGAAGGUGGGGAUGACGUCAAGUCCUCAUGGCCCUUACGUGUUGGGCUACACACGUGCUACAAUGGCAUCUACAAUAGGAAGCAAGAUGGCGACAUCAAGCAAAUCCUAAAAAGAUGCCUCAGUUCGGAUUGCACUCUGCAACUCGAGUGCAUGAAGCUGGAAUUACUAGUAAUCGCGGAUCAGCGCGCCGCGGUGAAUACGUUCCCGGGUCUUGUACACACCGCCCGUCACACCAUGGGAGUUGGUUCUACCUUAAGCAAAGUUUAAAACCUUUGACCACGGUAUAGUCAGCGACUGGGGUGAAGUCGUAACAAGGUAGCCGUAGGGGAACCUGCGGCUG
RNAcentral lists this ribosomal RNA (808 nucleotides) under marine metagenome. RNAcentral's name for it is "bacterial SSU rRNA". It matches the Rfam family "Bacterial small subunit ribosomal RNA", at positions 700 to 1520 of the family's 1533-position model. The record is from RNAcentral.